This is a long non-coding RNA of Episyrphus balteatus (marmalade hoverfly), 2400 nucleotides long. RefSeq lists it as uncharacterized. The record is from RefSeq and is a predicted model, not a curated record. NCBI's taxonomy places the organism in Eukaryota, Metazoa, Arthropoda, Insecta, Diptera, Syrphidae. The transcript is spliced from 3 exons.
AUCAAUUAAAAAACGAAAACAUUUUUUUUUCUACAUUUCAUCUUUAAAACUUAAUUUCUCAAAAACUAUUUAAUGAAACAACUUGACUCAAAAAAUGAAAAGUUAUAGCACAGGGUUAUACGUGCAUUUUAUGAUUUUUAAUAUUUUUUUUUCUACCGGCUAAUCGGGAGGUAAGUGGGUAAGCACUUAAGUGGCUUUAACUGUACCAAGAAAAUGAAAAUUUUUCCUUCCGAAUAUUUUUUUUGUCAUUUGGUACCUUUUGAUGUGGAAAAUGUGCCCAAAUAUUUUUGGCCAGGUUUUAGACUAAAAUACCGCACUGUGCAUCGUUAAAAUUCGCUGCUUGUCAGUCAGUCGUAUGAUACUUCACUUUAUUUCUAACUGUUAUUGCUGAUUUUUUUGCCAAUCCGUCCCUUGUGUCCCCCCCCAGAAAAAAAUCCUGGAUCCGCCCUUGGUUAUCAGAGAAACUUUUCAUAAAUUGUUAAAGAGAUGAGGGUGACUAAACUAUAAAAGGACUGAACCUGAAGAAUGAGAAGACACCGUAGUCCUCUGAGCCAAGAUAAAAAAAUUAAAUAAACUAGUGGACAUCAACAGACAACUUUUCAUCUGAGAAGACUCUAAGAAAAAUAAAAUGAAAGAAUCUAUUGAGAAUCAGUUGAAAGGACUUUCGAGAACGCUCCCGCAUUACGAGUCUCUUUCAACCUACAUCUCCAAGCAAGGGCUAAAUUGUUCGGCUUUGUGAAUACCUUAAUAGAUUUUCACAGACUGAAACUGCUAAGUCUUUCUUGUAUUUUAAAAUCGUUUUUGGUGUGAAUAACCAUGUGGCAACGCGAUACCGCAACCAUACUAUCAGUCAUCGGGACUCACAGGCAGACAUCACCAAAUGUUAUAAAAUUUAAGCAAAGUUAAAAAACUAAAAAAAUCAAAAAAUUAAAAAAUUAAAAAAUUUAAACUAAAUUGCAAUCAAAUCUUGAAGUGGCUCAAAAAUCUUAGCCUCACUAUUUCGUAAUAGUGGGCAACAACACGUUGGGCGCCAUUUUGUAACAGGUUUAUUUAGGUACCGAAGAUCUUUGCUGGUAUGCUGGUCGCUACUGUAGCUCGCCGGUGGGUGUGGUUCUUUGAUCUUCAACCACAGACAAUUAUAUACAGAUAUCGCAUCCCAUAGAAAAAAAAGAAACCUCUCGCCUUAUUCUUGAAAGAUAUUUACAAGUAUAGAAUGUUAAUUAUCACAGAAUUUGAAUAGUUACAUUUAUUUAUUAUUUUAUAAAGAAAAGAUACAUUUAUAUAUAAAUUUGCUAACCGAGCUGACGGCAAUGCCAUAGCUUUAAAUUCUUUAAAUUGUUAACAUGUAUCUAAGGAACAAAUCAAUAAAAUGAAUUAAUUACUUACUAAUUACUAAUUACUAGGAAAAAAUGGUCAUCAAAAUUUUUUCCAGCCGACACAUUUCAGCCGACAAGAGCUUUUUAAAUUUGAAUCAAAAAGGAGAAGAGAAUUUUUCAGCCGACAAAAAAGCUUUUUUUUUCAAUUUAAAAAGAGAACAAUAAGAAAGGAUCUCUUAACGACCAUGAACUUACUCACUCUCCCGCGAAAAUAAAAAAAAGGAGUGCUUGUGGGUAGACAGAGAUAGAAGUGAUUUCAAUUCGUCUUUGACUUUCUAAGCAAUCAGCUGCUGUGAAAUAUUUCAAAUAGAUAUCGUCGGCGUACAACAAUUUUGCUUUACGCCGACGAUAUGUAGGUACAUAAACUGUAUGUAAUUGAAAAUAUUUUAUAAGAGUGUCGGCUGGUUUUGAGAUUUCAUGGGCACUGGGCACCGAUCAGAUUGUUGGUGAAAUAUAAACAUGAGCAUAGUAUGGGUAUUUGCGUAUACAUACAUAAGGCCGAUGUCGUUGGGCGUCAUGACGUCUGCGUGCAUAAGGCGGCCCAUAGACAAGAUACUUGUGUGUUCGCUACGUUGUGCAAACAAGUGUGGUGUCUGGUGUGUAUGGGUCUGUGAAAAUUUAAGUAGAUGGAUAGGUAGGUAAGCAGGUUCUUAGAUAGAGAAGAGUGAAUGAAUUGGCGAAUUCUAUUCAUGUUUUUGCAUUCAUCCAGGUGAACUUUAUUUUUUUUUGAUGGAACAUGGAAGCAAGAAAUAAAAAAAAUAAAGCAGGGUUGUAAAAAAUCUUUUUUAAAACAAAUAUUUACUGCAACUUGAUAAUGUUUUGCAUUAAAAAAAUACUAUUGCACCAUCUUUAUUGACAAAAACAAUAUUUUGCCUUAAAAAAAUUGUACCUAUUGCAAAUAAAAAAAAAUUCUCCAUAGAAAAAACAAAUCAAUGCAAAGUGUGGGGGUGUGGGCAAAAAAUAGUUCAUUUUUAAUAUUCGUCGAACUUCUUACAAUUUUAGUUGCAACAAUUAUUUUUUUAAU